Molecule: long non-coding RNA, 621 nt
Organism: Vombatus ursinus (common wombat)
Lineage: Eukaryota; Metazoa; Chordata; Mammalia; Diprotodontia; Vombatidae
Source: Ensembl
AGCAAUUGCUCGAAUAAAGAAUAUAGUUCAUUAAAAAAUCAUACAUGUGAUGAUAAUAAGGAAGUUAUGUUUAUAGUUCAUGUGACAUGUAAAUUGAAGCAACUUGUGAAGGCUAAUAUCAGUGAGAACUUUAAUGGUUACUUAGAAGCGUAUUCACAUCAUGCAUUAGAGAUGCUGAAGGGAUGCAAAUGUGAUGAGGUGAAUGGAACAGAGAAAAAGACAGGAGGGCCCUGCUUCAAGAUCCUGGGAGAAAAAUCUUCCAAGGAAAGAAAAAAACAGAAUAAAUGUUUAUGCUUAAUACAAAAAAUGAUAUCCGAUGUUAGCAAUUGCUGGAGGAAAAUUUUGAACAUGAACGCCAAUGGGCACUGACACAACUGUGAUGGCAGAGAAGCCCCAUGAUUUGAACACCUUUCACUUGCAUUCACCAAGUGUUCAUCUGCUCACACUGAUCUAUCUCCAUGCCAGAAGCUGCUGUAUUUAUCCUGGCAAAGCUAUGGCACCAUGAGCAAGGGACCGUGAAUUCUACUCUACUCCACUGCAGACACCAGUAGACAGAGAAGCAAACCAAUGAAACAGAAAAUGAUAAUUCACAAUAAAAGCUACUUGAUAACGACCUGGACA